RNAcentral lists this ribosomal RNA (749 nucleotides) under Microbacterium maritypicum. RNAcentral's name for it is "bacterial SSU rRNA". It matches the Rfam family "Bacterial small subunit ribosomal RNA", at positions 71 to 833 of the family's 1533-position model. The record is from RNAcentral. Lineage: Bacteria; Bacillati; Actinomycetota; Actinomycetes; Micrococcales; Microbacteriaceae.
AAGCCCAGCUUGCUGGGUGGAUCAGUGGCGAACGGGUGAGUAACACGUGAGCAACCUGCCCCUGACUCUGGGAUAAGCGCUGGAAACGGCGUCUAAUACUGGAUACGAGUAGCGACCGCAUGGUCAGUUACUGGAAAGAUUUAUUGGUUGGGGAUGGGCUCGCGGCCUAUCAGCUUGUUGGUGAGGUAAUGGCUCACCAAGGCGUCGACGGGUAGCCGGCCUGAGAGGGUGACCGGCCACACUGGGACUGAGACACGGCCCAGACUCCUACGGGAGGCAGCAGUGGGGAAUAUUGCACAAUGGGCGCAAGCCUGAUGCAGCAACGCCGCGUGAGGGAUGACGGCCUUCGGGUUGUAAACCUCUUUUAGCAGGGAAGAAGCGAAAGUGACGGUACCUGCAGAAAAAGCGCCGGCUAACUACGUGCCAGCAGCCGCGGUAAUACGUAGGGCGCAAGCGUUAUCCGGAAUUAUUGGGCGUAAAGAGCUCGUAGGCGGUUUGUCGCGUCUGCUGUGAAAUCCGGAGGCUCAACCUCCGGCCUGCAGUGGGUACGGGCAGACUAGAGUGCGGUAGGGGAGAUUGGAAUUCCUGGUGUAGCGGUGGAAUGCGCAGAUAUCAGGAGGAACACCGAUGGCGAAGGCAGAUCUCUGGGCCGUAACUGACGCUGAGGAGCGAAAGGGUGGGGAGCAAACAGGCUUAGAUACCCUGGUAGUCCACCCCGUAAACGUUGGGAACUAGUUGUGGGGUCCAUU